GUUGCCAGCCCGCUCAGAAACUCAAAGGAAUUGACGGGGCCCGCACAAGCGGAGGAGCAUGUGGUUAAUUCGAUGAUACGCGAGGAACCUUACCUGGGCUCGAACGUAAGAUGACUGUAGGUGAAAGCUUACAUCUCUUCGGAGCAUUUUACGAGGUGCUGCAUGGUUGUCGUCAGCUCGUGCCGUGAGGUGUCGGGUUAAGUCCCAUAACGAGCGCAACCCCUACCUUUAGUUGCCAUCAGGUUAAGCUGGGGACUCUAAAGGAACUGCCUACGCAAGUAGUGAGGAAGGCGGGGAUGACGUCAAAUCAGCACGGCCCUUACGUCCAGGGCUACACACGUGCUACGAUGGCCGAUACAGAGGGCAGCUACCUGGUGACAGGAUGCAAAUCUCCAAAGUCGGUCUCAGUUCGGAUCGGAGUCUGCAACCCGACUCCGUGAAGUUGGAUUCGCUAGUAAUCGCGCAUCAGCCAUGGCGCGGUGAAUACGUUCCCGGGCCUU
RNAcentral lists this ribosomal RNA (500 nucleotides) under uncultured Sphingobacteriales bacterium. Its description in RNAcentral is "bacterial SSU rRNA". It matches the Rfam family "Bacterial small subunit ribosomal RNA", at positions 880 to 1382 of the family's 1533-position model. Lineage: Bacteria; Pseudomonadati; Bacteroidota; Sphingobacteriia; Sphingobacteriales. The record is from RNAcentral.